RNAcentral lists this ribosomal RNA (496 nucleotides) under uncultured bacterium. RNAcentral's name for it is "partial 16S ribosomal RNA". It matches the Rfam family "Bacterial small subunit ribosomal RNA", at positions 30 to 523 of the family's 1533-position model. The record is from RNAcentral.
AUUGAACGCUGGCGGAAUGCUUUACACAUGCAAGUCGAACGGUAGAGGGGGCAACCCCUCGAGAGUGGCGAACGGGUGAGUAAUAUAUCGGAACGUGCCCAGUCGUGGGGGAUAACGUAGCGAAAGUUACGCUAAUACCGCAUACGAUCUACGGAUGAAAGCGGGGGAUCGCAAGACCUCGCGCGAUUGGAGCGGCCGAUAUCAGAUUAGGUAGUUGGUGGGGUAAAGGCUCACCAAGCCAACGAUCUGUAGCUGGGCUGAGAGGACGACCAGCCACACUGGAACUGAGACACGGUCCAGACUCCUACGGGAGACAGCAGUGGGGAAUUUUGGACAAUGGACGCAAGUCUGAUCCAGCCAUUCCGCGUGCAGGAUGAAGGCCCUCGGGUUGUAAACUGCUUUUGUACGGAACGAAAAGGUUUCCAUUAAUACUGGGAGCUCAUGACGGUACCGUAAGAAUAAGCACCGGCUAACUACGUGCCAGCCGCCGCAGUAA